UACGUAGGGGCCAAGCGUUGUCCGGAUUUAUUGGGCGUAAAGAGCUCGUAGGCGGUUCGGCAAGUCAGCUGUGAAAUCUCCACGCUCAACGUGGAGGGGUCAGCUGAUACUGCUGUGACUCGAGUCCGGUAGGGGAGUGUGGAAUUCCCGGUGUAGCGGUGAAAUGCGCAGAUAUCGGGAGGAACACCAAUGGCGAAGGCAGCUCGCUGGGACGGUACUGACGCUGGAGGCGCGAAAGCGUGGGGAGCAAACAGGG
Molecule: ribosomal RNA, 256 nt
Filed under: uncultured bacterium
Lineage: Bacteria
Description: partial 16S ribosomal RNA
Rfam family: Bacterial small subunit ribosomal RNA
Source: RNAcentral